AAAAGAAGAUCAAGAAGAGCUUCAGAAUGAAGCUUUCUUGAUGGAGGGGAGCGGCAGACGGGUGAGUAACACGUGGGAACAUACUCAUCUCUGCGGAACAACUCCGGGAAACUGGAGCUAAUACCGCAUACGCCCUUCGGGGGAAAGAUUUAUCGGAGAUGGAUUGGCCCGCGUUGGAUUAGCUAGUUGGUGGGGGAAAGGCCUACCAAGGCGACGAUCCAUAGCUGGUCUGAGAGGAUGAUCAGCCACAUUGGGACUGAGACACGGCCCAAACUCCUACGGGAGGCAGCAGUGGGGAAUAUUGGACAAUGGGCGCAAGCCUGAUCCAGCCAUGCCGCGUGAGUGAUGAAGGCCUUAGGGUUGUAAAGCUCUUUCACCGAUGAAGAUAAUGACGGUAGUCGGAGAAGAAGCCCCGGCUAACUUCGUGCCAGCAGCCGCCGUAA
Molecule: ribosomal RNA, 443 nt
Filed under: uncultured bacterium
Lineage: Bacteria
Description: partial 16S ribosomal RNA
Rfam family: Bacterial small subunit ribosomal RNA
Source: RNAcentral